GUCAGUUGUAGCGCAGUCGACGGUACAGGAAGCAGCUUGCUUCUUUGCUGACGAGUGGCGGACGGGUGAGUAAUGUCUGGGAAACUGCCUGAUGGAGGGGGAUAACUACUGGAAACGGUAGCUAAUACCGCAUAACGUCGCAAGACCAAAGAGGGGGACCUUCGGGCCUCUUGCCAUCGGAUGUGCCCAGAUGGGAUUAGCUAGUAGGUGGGGUAACGGCUCACCUAGGCGACGAUCCCUAGCUGGUCUGAGAGGAUGACCAGCCACACUGGAACUGAGACACGGUCCAGACUCCUACGGGAGGCAGCAGUGGGAC
Molecule: ribosomal RNA, 316 nt
Filed under: Shigella sp. NAIP8
Lineage: Bacteria; Pseudomonadati; Pseudomonadota; Gammaproteobacteria; Enterobacterales; Enterobacteriaceae
Description: bacterial SSU rRNA
Rfam family: Bacterial small subunit ribosomal RNA
Source: RNAcentral